GUUUUUAGUAAGUUAUCACACUCUCUGCACCCUUUUCUACUUCCCUAAAUGUUUUAUGGUUAAUGUAGAGUAAUUUAAAAGGGGUUUGGGUUAAAAUAUUUAAAAGUUAGGGUUUAUGGUAUAUUAAUAGGAAAACCUUAAAUCUAGACUAACCAAAGUUAAAUGAUGUUUAAUCAAGCUAUUUUAUGGUCAUAAUAGCUUAAGAUAGUUAAUGGAGCUUGAUUUGGGUGCUAAGGAAGCAAAGUGGCAC
Molecule: unclassified non-coding RNA, 250 nt
Filed under: Hevea brasiliensis (rubber tree)
Lineage: Eukaryota; Viridiplantae; Streptophyta; Magnoliopsida; Malpighiales; Euphorbiaceae
Source: RNAcentral